AUUGAACGCUGGCGGCAUGCUUUACACAUGCAAGUCGAACGGUAACAGGUUAAGCUGACGAGUGGCGAACGGGUGAGUAAUGCAUCGGAACGUGCCCGGUCGUGGGGGAUAACACUUCGAAAGAAGUGCUAAUACCGCAUACGAUCUGAGGAUGAAAGCGGGGGACCGUAAGGCCUCGCGCGAUCGGAGCGGCCGAUGUCAGGUUAGGUAGUUGGUGGGGUAAAGGCCCACCAAGCCGACGAUCUGUAGCUGGUCUGAGAGGACGACCAGCCACACUGGGACUGAGACACGGCCCAGACUCCUACGGGAGGCAGCAGUGGGGAAUUUUGGACAAUGGGCGCAAGCCUGAUCCAGCAAUGCCGCGUGCAGGAAGAAGGCCUUCGGGUUGUAAACUGCUUUUGUACGGAGCGAAAAGGCUCUCUCUAAUACAGGGGGCUGAUGACGGUACCGUAAGAAUAAGCACCGGCUAACUACGUGCCAGCCGCCGCAGUAA
RNAcentral lists this ribosomal RNA (493 nucleotides) under uncultured bacterium. RNAcentral describes it as "partial 16S ribosomal RNA". It matches the Rfam family "Bacterial small subunit ribosomal RNA", at positions 30 to 523 of the family's 1533-position model. The record is from RNAcentral.